AUACGUAGGUGGCGAGCGUUAUCCGGAAUUACUGGGUGUAAAGGGUGUGUAGGCGGGAAGGCAAGUCGGAUGUGAAAAUUAUGGGCUCAACCCAUAAAGUGCGACCGAAACUGUUUUUCUUGAGGAUCGGAGAGGUAAUGAGAAUUCCCGGUGUAGCGGGGAAAUGCGCAGAGAUCGGGAGGAAUACCGGUGGCGAAGGCGAAUUACUGGACGAUAACUGACGCUGAGACACGAAAGCGUGGGGAGCAAACAGGAUUAGAUACCCUGGUAGUCCACGCCCUAAACGAUGAAUGCUAGGUGUAGGGGAGUCAUCUACUGUGCCGCAGCUAACGCAAUAAGCAUUCCACCUGGGGAGUACGGCCGCAAGGUUGAAACUCAAAUGAAUUGGCGGGG
This 393-nucleotide ribosomal RNA is filed under the name uncultured bacterium. RNAcentral's name for it is "partial 16S ribosomal RNA". It matches the Rfam family "Bacterial small subunit ribosomal RNA", at positions 523 to 918 of the family's 1533-position model. The record is from RNAcentral.